ACCUAAAUGGGUCGCAAAAUAUACUUUGGCGGCCGUUAACAUACCUGGGCGGCCCGCCCAAGUUAAGUCUAUGUGUGGGAAACCCUGGCCUACAUGAUGUCAUCACGCUGAUUCAUCAUGUGGUGUUAAUAUGUGGAGAUUAUCCUGCUGAACAAAAUGUGUAAGUUUCACAAACGUGUUUAACUCUGAGCUUGCUUACUGUAAUAUUCUGAAAUCCAAUGAAGAAAUCCCAUUGCUUUUUGUCGAGGAAGAACUUGCGAUGCUCCUGUCCUGGUCCACCGACGGAAAUACGCUAUCACUGCACCGCUCUCUGAAUACAUCAAAUUAACACGGUGGCUAACUUGACAGUUGUGUUGAGUUGGUAAAUUACAAAUAAGCUGUUUUUAUCUGCAGAGCUGCUUGGUACGAAACCCCAGAGAGAGGAUUCCUUUAAAAGAGCUGCUGGAUCAUCCGUACCUACAGCAUUCACCUGCAGAAAGAGGUCCAAGUAACAGAGAUCUGCAGAAGAUCUUAACAGACCUCGCCGCCCUCCAGUCUCCAGGCAGCAUCAUCCGAGCAGCUAAUAAUCUGGCCAAAAUGUGCAGCAGCGGCAGGAAGCUGGAUGUUGCAGAGUGUGCAAAGUCAUCAACAUAACUAUCUUUGAAACUGUGAUGUGGAUGGAAGUUACUAUAUUUUCUUUUUGUUAAACUAAUAAAGUAUGCACA
Molecule: long non-coding RNA, 704 nt
Organism: Notothenia coriiceps (black rockcod)
Lineage: Eukaryota; Metazoa; Chordata; Actinopteri; Perciformes; Nototheniidae
Exons: 3
Source: RefSeq, a predicted model, not a curated record